GCCAGUGUAGCAUAGUUUGAGUGUUGGACUACAACUCUGGAGACCAGGGUUCAAUUCCCUGCUCAUCCA
This 69-nucleotide transfer RNA is filed under the name Phrynosoma platyrhinos (Desert horned lizard). RNAcentral's name for it is "tRNA-OTHER". The record is from RNAcentral. Lineage: Eukaryota; Metazoa; Chordata; Lepidosauria; Squamata; Phrynosomatidae.